AGCGAACGUUUGCGGCGGGCUUAACACAUGCAAGUCGAACGAGAAUCCCUUCGGGGAGGAAAGUGGCGCACGGGUGCGUAACACGUGGAUAACCAACCCAUUGGUUUGGGACAACACCGGGAAACUGGUGCUAAUACCAGAUGUGUCGCAGCUGUCUUCAGGCGGUUGCGAGAAAGGCCCGCAAGGGUCGCCAGCGGACGGGUCCGCGUCCCAUCAGCUAGUUGGUGAGGUAAUGGCUCACCAAGGCAAAGACGGGUAGCUGGUCUGAGAGGAUGAUCAGCCACACUGGAACUGAGACACGGUCCAGACUCCUACGGGAGGCAGCAGUGGGGAAUAUUGCGCAAUGGGCGAAAGCCUGACGCAGCCACGCCGCGUGAGCGAUGAAGGUCUUCGGAUCGUAAAGCUCUGUGGGGGGANAAGAAGAAAGCCGGUGAAGAGCCGGCCCUGACGGUAUCCCCUUAGCAAGCACCGGCUAACUCCGUGCCAGCAGCCGCGGUAA
RNAcentral lists this ribosomal RNA (499 nucleotides) under uncultured bacterium. RNAcentral describes it as "bacterial SSU rRNA". It matches the Rfam family "Bacterial small subunit ribosomal RNA", at positions 29 to 523 of the family's 1533-position model. The record is from RNAcentral.